RNAcentral lists this ribosomal RNA (128 nucleotides) under uncultured eukaryote. RNAcentral's name for it is "partial small subunit ribosomal RNA". It matches the Rfam family "Eukaryotic small subunit ribosomal RNA", at positions 1651 to 1773 of the family's 1831-position model. The record is from RNAcentral.
CCCUGCCAUUUGUACACACCGCCCGUCGCUACUACCGAUUGGAAGUUUUAGUGAGGCAUUUGGACCUGCAGGCCAAAGGGGGGGCAACCUCUCUGGGUCAGCGGGGAAGUCUGUCGAACUCAAAUUUC